ACAAUUAGCAGAGUGGUUCAUCACGUCUCCUUUACAAAUCCCCUUUGAGGGAUUUCAAUACUGCGGAGAAGGUCGUGGGUUCGAUCCCCACAGGAA
This is a non-coding RNA of Phialophora macrospora, 96 nucleotides long. NCBI's taxonomy places the organism in Eukaryota, Fungi, Ascomycota, Eurotiomycetes, Chaetothyriales, Herpotrichiellaceae. The record is from the annotation of a GenBank genome assembly.